Molecule: ribosomal RNA, 731 nt
Filed under: uncultured bacterium
Lineage: Bacteria
Description: bacterial SSU rRNA
Rfam family: Bacterial small subunit ribosomal RNA
Source: RNAcentral
AGCGGCGGACGGGUGAGUAAUGCUUAGGAAUCUGCCUAUUAGUGGGGGACAACAUUCCGAAAGGAAUGCUAAUACCGCAUACGUCCUACGGGAGAAAGCAGGGGAUCUUCGGACCUUGCGCUAAUAGAUGAGCCUAAGUCGGAUUAGCUAGUUGGUGGGGUAAAGGCCUACCAAGGCGACGAUCUGUAGCGGGUCUGAGAGGAUGAUCCGCCACACUGGGACUGAGACACGGCCCAGACUCCUACGGGAGGCAGCAGUGGGGAAUAUUGGACAAUGGGCGGAAGCCUGAUCCAGCCACGCCGCGUGUGUGAAGAAGGCCUUUUGGUUGUAAAGCACUUUAAGCGAGGAGGAGGCUACCUAGAUUAAUACUCUGGGAUAGUGGACGUUACUCGCAGAAUAAGCACCGGCUAACUCUGUGCCAGCAGCCGCGGUAAUACAGAGGGUGCGAGCGUUAAUCGGAUUUACUGGGCGUAAAGCGUGCGUAGGCGGCUGAUUAAGUCGGAUGUGAAAUCCCUGAGCUUAACUUAGGAAUUGCAUUCGAUACUGGUCAGCUAGAGUAUGGGAGAGGAUGGUAGAAUUCCAGGUGUAGCGGUGAAAUGCGUAGAGAUCUGGAGGAAUACCGAUGGCGAAGGCAGCCAUCUGGCCUAAUACUGACGCUGAGGUACGAAAGCAUGGGGAGCAAACAGGAUUAGAUACCCUGGUAGUCCAUGCCGUAAACGAUGUCUACUAGC